CAGGCCUAACACAUGCAAGUCGAGGGGUAACAGAGAAGCUUGCUUCUGCUGACGACCGGCGCACGGGUGCGUAACGCGUAUGCAACCUACCUCAUACUGGAGCAUAGCCCUUGGAAACGAGGAUUAAUACUCCAUGGUAUCAUUCUUUCGCAUGUUAGAAUGAUUAAAGAAUUUCGGUAUGAGAUGGGCAUGCGUCCCAUUAGCUAGUUGGUGAGGUAACGGCUCACCAAGGCAACGAUGGGUAGGGGGCCUGAGAGGGUGGUCCCCCACACUGGUACUGAGACACGGACCAGACUCCUACGGGAGGCAGCAGUGAGGAAUAUUGGUCAAUGGAGGCAACUCUGAACCAGCCAUGCCGCGUGAAGGAUGACGGCCCUAUGGGUUGUAAACUUCUUUUAUAUGGGAAGAAACUUAUCUACGUGUAGAUAACUGACGGUACCAUACGAAUAAGGAUCGGCUAACUCCGUGCCAGCAGCCGCGGUAAUACGGAGGAUCCAAGCGUUAUCCGGAUUCAUUGGGUUUAAAGGGUCCGUAGGCGGAUUUUUAAAUCAGUGGUGAAAGCCGACAGCUCAACUGUCGAACUGCCAUUGAUACUGGAAAUCUUGAGUACAAAUGAAGUAGGCGGAAUGAGUCAUGUAGCGGUGAAAUG
This 649-nucleotide ribosomal RNA is filed under the name uncultured bacterium. Its description in RNAcentral is "bacterial SSU rRNA". It matches the Rfam family "Bacterial small subunit ribosomal RNA", at positions 43 to 688 of the family's 1533-position model. The record is from RNAcentral.